This 465-nucleotide ribosomal RNA is filed under the name uncultured bacterium. Its description in RNAcentral is "bacterial SSU rRNA". It matches the Rfam family "Bacterial small subunit ribosomal RNA", at positions 338 to 795 of the family's 1533-position model. The record is from RNAcentral.
CCUACGGGACGCACCAGUGGGGAAUAUUGCACAAUGGGCGCAAGCCUGAUGCAGCCAUGCCGCGUGUGUGAAGAAGGCCUUCGGGUUGUAAAGCACUUUCAGCGGGGAGGAAGGCGAUAAGGUUAAUAACCUUGUCGAUUGAGGUUACCCGCAGAAGAAGCACCGGCUAACUCCGUGCCAGCAGCCGCGGUAAUACAGAGGGUGCAAGCGUUAAUCGGAAUUACUGGGCGUAAAGCGCACGCAGGCGGUCUGUCAAGUCGGAUGUCAAAUCCCCGGGCUCAACCUGGGAACUGCAUUCGACACUGGCAGGCUAGAGUCUUGUAGAGGGGGGUAGAAUUCCAGGUGUAGCGGUGAAAUGCGUAGAGAUCUGGAGGAAUACCGGUGGCGAAGGCGGCCCCCUGGACAAAGACUGACGCUCAGGUGCGAAAGCGUGGGGAGCAAACAGGAUUAGAUACCCUUGUAGUC